CCAAUCCUUCGACCUCGUCGUACAGGCAUUCCAGAAAAUCCCCAAUCGAGCGGGGCAGCAGCGAGAGUAACCUAGCCGUCGUCGGCUCGCCGCCACAGAGCUCCGCCUCGCUGGACCAUCGGCUUGUCGCCGAAGAGCUCUGCCUCACCGGGCCACCGGCCGCGGGCACCUGAUCCACAUCCAUUGUUCGUCGGUCCACAUAUGGGCGAACGGAAAGAAGAAGCAAUGCCGAGCGUGGCCUAUGAGGGAGGAGGCAGCGGCGGCAGUGGAUCGAGAUCGAGCUCAUGCAAACGCGCAGUUGCUGUUAGCAAAAUUAGCAAGCGCAUCCAGUAGGGAAUCUUUAGAAAGAUGAAGCCAAUUGCUGCUUAUUUUGGAACUCCACCAUCUAAUGAAUUUCAAGCUCCUGUUCGUGUUCCUGUUCCUGAACCUGAUGCAAACAUUUUAUCCACUGAAGCCUCAGAUGCAAACAUUGUAGAAGAUCUAGUUCCUGAACCUGAAGUGUAUAAUGGGGGCUCUUUUGAUAACACUUUGCAAACUUCUAUUGGCGGCUGCCACUUCGUUUUGUCUCACAAGCAUUGCAACAAAAGGAUCAAAACAUAAUAAGUGCAAUGAACAUGAUUGUGUCUGUUAAAAGUUUAUUGCAACAGCUAAGGGAUGACGGAUGGGAGGCACUUUUGGCGGCUGCCCCUUUGUUUUGUAUUAAAAGGGAGAUAACAGUGCCUAGUAUGGAUGAGAAUAUACCAGCAAGGGGUUACCCAAGGAGUUCCCGCAAAAUGGUUAGUUGCUUCCAUCACUACAAAGUUGAAACAUUCAAUGAGGUUCUUGACAGAAACAUAGCUGAGAUGAAUAACCGGUUUAGCGAAACUUCAACAAGGUUAUUGAUAUGCAUUGCUAGUCUAGAUCCUAGAGACUCAUUUAGCAGAUUUAAUCAUGUGAACCUACUUGAGCUUGCAUCUAUGUACUCAGUCGAGUUCGAUCCAAAAGAACAAUAUCAUUUGGAUGGUCAGCUCAAGAUAUACAUUGAUAUGAUGAAAAGGUCUGAUGUUUUUUGCAGUUGUGGCAGUCUCGCUAAUCUUGCUCUCAGGUUGGUUGAAACUAAGGAACAUUUACACUUUCCUUUGGUUUACCGACCCAUCACACUUGCUUUGACUUUGCCAGUAGCGAUGGCAUCUGUUGAAAGAGUUUUCUCAGCCAUGAAUAUCAUUAAGACAGAUUUGAGAAAUAAGAUAUCUGAUGAUUGGUUGAAUGAUAUGCUAUGUAGAGCGAGAUAUAUUUGCUAGAAUUGAUGACAAGAAGAUCAUAGAACAUUUUCACAUCUUGAGAGAUUGUAGAGGCCAUCUACCAAACCCUCCCCGUAUACUUACGACUUAGGGUAUCUAUUAGUCAUGGAGUUGUUCAUUUUGGGCCAUGGAAUGAAUUAUUCAAGCAGCGGGAGUCCAAGUUAGUAGUUAUGUGUGACGUUUAUGUUAUAUUUUGUGAUUUUAGGUGGUUACAACCUAGUUCUCCAGAAUCUUAAACUGUUCUGAAUCAUUGGUCAUGUAAAUUUUCGAGUGCAUCUAGCUUUAUAUUUGAAUUUUAUGAGAUUUGGUUCAGCGGACUUGCAUUUGUCAAUCAAAUUUUGUGUUCCUUCAA
RNA transcript from Triticum urartu, 1632 nucleotides. RefSeq lists it as uncharacterized. The record is from RefSeq and is a predicted model, not a curated record. Lineage: Eukaryota; Viridiplantae; Streptophyta; Magnoliopsida; Poales; Poaceae.